UCAAAGCAAAACAAAACAAAACAAAAGAAAACAAAGCAAAUCAAAACCAAAAAGCUUUUCUCCAAGCGUCUGAUUUUAAUUUGAUGUGAUUUUGUAGAGGUUUCUGAAAAAUUAAAGCAUAUUCCUCCAACGUUCUGAGCUUAGAUUUUUAGCAUUUUACAAUGUAAAAUUACUUGACAUUAUUUAAUUGGACAUGAGGGUGUAAUACAGGAAUUUCCGUUACGUGAUGGAUUAAUUGUUUUCCUAAUACUUUAAAGGCUGGGAUCCAAACAUUUUUCCAUUCUAUUGCGAAAUUAACUGCAAUAAAUCUGUCAGACCCAAUUAUUCAUUUAAAACAUUCCACACUGAUUAAAUCUGCACAUUUGCCGGUGCGUGUGCGCGGCUGCGAGCGGGCGGCACGGAGAGGUGUGCGGCGGGGGGCGGCCGCACUCUGCUUCCUCCCCGAAACAGCAGAGGGCUGGGGAGCGAGCACUUUGGGGUUUAACCUGGAAAAUAUCAUUAUGCAGAUGGUGUCCUACGAGGAAUUCGGCAGGCAGAUAUCCCUCCGUCCAUCCGUCCGUCCGCGGCUGCUCUGUCCAUCUCCGUCCUCAGCGCCAGCUCUGAGCAGGCGGCAGCGUAGCGUGGAGGUGUGCGACGCCAUCCGACUCGAUCCUAUUUUACUUCUAUGGUGCGGUGGCGGUAUUUUUUUUUUUUUAAUAGUUUGUUGAUGUUUUCAAAGUCUCCAAACAAAGUCAGAUGUGUUAACAGUCUUAUUAACAAUGUUAAAAUGGAAUUAACAGCUUGUGGAUACCUCGGGAGCACAAUAGCAUGUCAGCCUACCCUGCCCCCUUAUAAAUCGUGUCCCGCUGUCUUUCCUUUGUUUCGGACCCAAUCAGCAAACCAAAGUUUUGUCGAGGCAGAAGGGCAGCCCGCGCCUUUCUGCGGGGCCACGGCGGCAGGCCGGCCGAGGGGAGGGCUCCGCUGACCCGCCGGGCUGCCUGACCUCUGCCUUGCCGGUUUGGAGGUUUGAAAGGCUUUUCCUAUGUUGUAGUUUACUUUUAUGGUCCUCUCAGUGCCGCCACGAAAGCUUUUGUUUACUUGAGAUGUAUUUGGGGUUCGCUUUCGGUUAACCUUCACAUCGCUCCCAGGGCUGCGCUGCUGUUGGGAAGGCUUAGCUCUGGAACAGUGUCAUGCCAGACACUGUAGACAGCCACCACCAACCGCAGCCAGGUUUUGAUAUUUCAAGAAUUGUUCGCCUCCGAGAGGGGAAACUGACAGCAGCACGUGCUGCUCUUCAGGGCGAUUUCACCGGAAUGGGCUUCUGUGCAAGAGAAAAACUUUUACUGUGUGCUCUCCUCUCCCAAGUUUCCCUCCUGCAGCCCUGCUGAAAUCUUAAGAAAUGUCACCCGUCACAUCGCGGUGUUAAAUGUAAAAAGAGCAUUUAAUGAGAUGUAAUUUUUUUCAUGUGGCUAGAGUAACCCGGGGUUAAUUUGCAUAUAAAAUUUAUGUGAAACGAAAGGCAUUCCCCAUAAGAAAAGUGUUUAUAUGUUUUGCUUUAGCUAUGAUAAUGACAUUUUUACUCCUUUCAUCCGACGGUCUCAAAGUAUUUACAAUUCCUCGUAGGGCUGCAUAGCACCACGAGGCAGGCGGGUGCUCCAUCCCAGCUGCAAGCCACACACUGUGUGCUGCAGGCAGGCUGCACUGUGCCCAAGGACUGCAGAACAGCAGCAAGCUAAGAAAAGCUAAAGUAGUCCUGUUUAUCGCCGCUGCUACCCCAGCAUCCUUCCCUGCUCUGGCUGUUCCACACAGCUGCUGGCAGGAGAUACGGAGGGCUGUGGCACACGAAAGCACCUGCUGGAGGUGCACCUGGAAAUCCAGCUUUAGGAAGUGGGCAUGCUCACUGUCCACAGAGCCCUGCUGUGCUUUAUUCAGUUGUGGCACUUGGAGGCAUCACCACAGCGCCCAGCGAGAGUCUCUCCAGUGUCAUCGUAAACGCGUGCUGUCAUCCCUGCUUCCCGUUCUAUAACUCAUCAUUCAGAAAAGUUGGCUCUUGCUGCUGCUGAACAGCUUCUUUCUCAUGGCACUAUUUUAUCUACUGAUGUUUUUAUGCAUAUUGCACUCAUUUGUCUGCAUUUGGGGUCAUCUGUGGAUUCAGUUCCACUGGUUUAUUAGUCCUUAGAGAUAGAAUAAGCCCAUCCACGAGUAAUUUUCUUCAACUUCAGUUUAUGUAGCUAUUUUGAAAGCACGGAAUAUUAGAUUACAAACAUGCACUAAAAAAAAAAAAGAAAAAAAAGAAAUGCGAGCUAAUCAAGAAGGCCUGCAGGCAAUUUGGCUUCGCUCUGGUGUCCGCUGAGCACUGCUCACCCUCGCUGCAAUGACAGAAGUUGGAAACAUUUCACCUUUCUGAGGGUCACAUCCUGCAGAAGGUGUGUAGUCAGGAGGAUGAAGUUGAAAAUAUUAUUUUCUCACCUGGCUGGUACAAAAAGCUUCUCACAGGGAAACCCGUGCCAGUUUUACAAUGAUAAAAAUCAGUACCUGCUCUUCAUUUUGUAGUAAUGAAAGAAUCAGGCUGAUAAAGACUAAAUUACAGAGGGAUCAACUAUGUUAUUUAUAGCACAGCUCACUUUUUACUAUGUUGUGAAAAUAUACGCAAUAGAGUACCCAGCAAUUUUCCAGUAAUUCAGCUUAUUUUCAAUAUUUUGUGUUUUUUUUCAGUAUUUUUACAAUGCAGAUUUUUUGCGUCGUGUAGAAAUUCCACAGAUAAAAAGGGAUAUUUUAAUCUUUAAGUCUAUGGAAUGAGAAACAAAAUGAUUUGUAACUAGGUGCUGUUUGAUAAAAUUUUAUAACAAAAAUAAAUGCUCAUUUUGGGGAAGUGUUCUCAUUUUUAUGCAGUGUUGUUUGAGGGAGUGGGGAGAUCCGUAGUCUAAUUACUGCAAAAUUGGUAAGUAGGUGUAGUGUUUGCUAAGAGCCCAGCCAGAGGGGUUGCUGAGACCUGCCUUGGGCUGCACCAAUUGGAAGAAAAUUUAAGAAUAAUUGCUUUUUCCUCUUUUCAUUUCUAUUCUUUAUAAUAUAUAAGAAAGAUCCUUUAUACAAUUUAUCUUUUGUGAAAAUAGUACCAUCCAUUUACUUUUAACAAACGGCAGUUUUGUAUGUGGAGCCAUGUGGAUGGCCAUUAAAUGUACCACGUUGGUGAGCUCUCAGUAACAUGUGCAAAGAGUUACGUGAGUUUCUUGAAAGGAGAGCCAUGGAAACUACACAAAAAUAUGUCAAAACUAUGCAAAAAUAAGCAGGCUCGGUGCCACUGAUGUAAGAGCAAUUCUAAGUGAGAGAUUGUAUUACUGAUAUGCUUGUCUAUUUGGGUCUAUUUGAGCUUCAGCUUGGAGAAGGCACAGCUGAGAUUGAGGAAAGGCCCCAGAGGUGCUAAUGGUUGUCUUCCUAUUGCCUUCACCUGUAGAGAAGUGAGGACGUGGCUUUGGGACACAAGGGGGAGAGUGGAGGACUUUGAUGGGUGCCGUGUUUGGGUUUUCUGUUCCUCUGGGUGAGCUGCAUGCAGAGCACGUGAGGGUGACGCUGGGUUUAUGUGCCAAUGGCAGAAGCUUCUGGGGAUGGAACAUCCAUCUUUUGCAUGGAGCAAAAGGAGCUGCAGUGACCCAGAAAGCGCCAUCCUGAACAGAAGGGAGGUGAAGUGAGGAGGCUGGUUGGAGGACUGUUCAGGCACAGGGAGGCUGGGUUUCAUCUCUGGCGCAGCUAAGACAGAUGGGAUUCUCGGAUCAUGCACUGUUAAGCCUUCCUUUGGAAUUCGCGCCACUGUGACCACAGAGCCCAGAUGGUGCUUAAAUCUGUCAUUUUUUAACAACCCUACUUUCUUAAUUUUAUAUCCAAACACAUUGAGCAUUCUAAGUGAUUAAUUACUGUCCAGAUAUGUCUGUGCUGAAGCAAUGUACUUGCAUGUGCCAAAGAUCAUUUCGUUUGCAGAAGUUAGCUUGGAGAGGGCUGGGUGGGCAGUGAGAGACCCCCCCAGCACAUCCCUUCUCCUGGAUGUUUGUACCUCCAAUUUGUACCUUCUUUUUCUGACAGCAGAGCAUUAGCAAAAAAGUUUCUGCCAGUAAAACAGAAUUUUGAUCACUGAUAUUUUCAUAGAAUCAUUAAGGUUGGAAAAGACCUCUAAGAUGAUCCAGUCCAUCCCAUCCUCACCAUGCCCACUAACAUUCAUGUGGCGCACCCACGUGUUUCUUGAACACCUCCAGGUGUUCUCCACCAGCUCCCUGGGCUGUCUGUUCCAGCACAUCACCACCCUUCCAGAGAAGGAAUUUUUUCUAACAUCCCACCUGAAUAUCCUCCCCUGGUGCAACUUAAGACCAUUAAUUCUUGUCCUAAGUUUUAAAGCUUCUGUGUGGGAUUCACUCUAUUGCAAUGUAAGUUUUGAUCUUGCCAAAUCUUCCAUUUGCUGGGAGUAACAGGAAAAGGACAGGUUUUGAUGCCUGACAGCACCAAUGUCAUCAUUUAAGGAUUUUGCAUCUGGGCAUUACUGGUAUGUCUAAGGUUGUAAUGACCAGCUAUGUAGAAAGCAGAGAUUGAAGACUUCAAGGAGCAGAGCUUGCUUACUGAGGUUUCAGGAAUGAAAUGCUCAAAUCACCAUAUUCAGAAUUGGAUGUUUCUCUGAUGGUUUCUCUUCAGUUUUCAUUUUAAACUCUUAAAGACUUUAAAUACAAUUAUUAUUUGUGUCUGACACUUGCUUUAAUUUGCGUGUUGGCAGCAGGCUGCUAUCAAUUCCCUGAUUUUUGGAAACGAGGCGAAAAGUGAUGCUGUGUGGUGCACAGCCUUCCUGUAGAUAUCAGUGCAGCCCAGGGAAACCCCUGAAGUGCUGCUGCUCUUUCCUUUGGCUGAGCAGCGAUAGCCACCUGAGGGUUGUUUGGGGAUGUCACCGUGUAUUGUCUGCUUGAUCACAUCAGCUGUAUGCAGGUAGAGCUGCUGCUCAAAACACUGUGCAGGAAGGAAUUUCCUCUGGGGUGCCUGAAGUCUGUCAGAGUUCCUGGGGCUUUUUCUGCUUUGCAAAGAAAUUGUAAUGCUCAUGCUAUGUUAAACACUGGCAGAGCAAAUGUCGAGUGCUUCUUGCGUUAGGGGGGACACUGGACAGCAGCAGGCUCUCCUUCUUCAUACGGUCUUUGUGUUUUGCACAGUGCUACCUGUUAGCUCUAUGAAUAAACACAGCCUGCAACGUUAAACGUAACAGCAUUAGCAUAUGCCAUCUCAACCAAGGGAUAUUGCUUUUUGCAAGGGAGAUACUAUUCUUGUCUGAGGCUGAAAUUUCCUUUCCUUCCAUGUGGUAGGAAGCUGCGCAGUCCCUAGUGGCAAACGAAAUCAGUCUCUCUUAGGUGUAAAGUUUGCAAGGAGGCAUUUUUUCCUGAGAGGUUUUAAAUGAGCUCAGCCAGCAUUAAAUACUGAAGACUAUAAUACUGCGGUAGCUGCUGCUGCUGAGGCUCAAAGUGAUGAAACAAUGCAUGUUAUUUAUCAGACCAGGCAGGGUCCCUCAAUGGACAGGAGCUCUCAACUAAGAAUGUUUUGUCUUAUUCGCAUCACUGCUGAGGACCAGUUCUUGGGCAAUGAACAGCC
Meleagris gallopavo (turkey) is the source of this 5592-nucleotide non-coding RNA. The record is from RefSeq and is a predicted model, not a curated record. NCBI's taxonomy places the organism in Eukaryota, Metazoa, Chordata, Aves, Galliformes, Phasianidae.